AAAAAAAUUGAUAAUUACCCAAAAAUCAGGCCAAAAGUCUAGGCCGAAUGUUGCUAGUAUGAGAAUUAAUUCAUCUAAUUCAGAUCAAGUUUUGGAGGCUUGUGGGAACCACCAAGUUAACUUAGAUUAAAGCAAAAUCGAUGGUCUUGCUGAUGUCGUCGGUGUGGCUAUAGCGGUGAACUUUGAUUUUGUUUUACUUGAUGGUUUACAUUCGAAAACUACUUUUUAUUUUAAUCCUACUUUUGAGGGACCGGUGGAGUUGCCGUUUUGGUGUUGGAAGGCGAUCUUGAUCUUGGGAAGCACAUGACAGUCACUUUCAAGGAAAAUAAAAUCCAAAAUCCAGUAAACAGACGGAUGGGGAUUUUGAGUUGGGUUCUGGUAGGGAUUUUUCAUGGCCUUUUGGAUGGGUUUCUGGGAAGAAAGCUAGGGGUGGCCGGAGUGGAAGAAAGCUAAACAAAAUAAUUCAUUGUUAGGGAAGUUGUUUUAAAUCAUCCGACAGCUAGCGAGUUCCUUUGCUUGAUUCUAUGAAUACCAUGGCUGAACUUAUCACUCUCAGCUUGAUGUGGAUGUUGGUAAUUGCGAUUCAAUCAAGGUCGAAUUGGUUUGGAGUCUCCUAGGCAGUGAGGUUUUUCCUUAUUUUCUCUUUUAUUAUGAAUUUAAAUCUAACCAUAUUUUCAUGGAACUGCCAAGGAUGCACUAGUGCUAAAUUUCCCCAAAUUUUUUGGGAGUAUAACCUAGAGUAUGGACCGAAUAUUGUGUGUCUUAUGGAGCCUAAAGUAAGUGGUAAAAGAGCUGAUAAUAUCAUUGCUAAUUAGGCUUCAAUUGUUAUUACCGUGUUGAAGUUAUUGGCUUCUAAGGGCAUGUUUGGGUUGGUUGGAAAGAUUUAGUCAAGAUUGAGAUCAUUCGAAAUCAUCUUCAAUUCAUACUUCUUCGAGUUCUUGGUAGCGUUUCCUCUAAAUCCAUUUUUAUUUCCUUUAUGUAUGGCAAUUCAAAUAGACGGAAGCGAAGGAUCCUUUGGGAUGAGUAGAAGUUUUCCAUGCCUUAGAAGACAUCUCCAUGGAUGAUUUUAAUGUUAUUCUUUCACCUAAUGAUAAGAGAAGUAGUUGUUCUGUUGGGAGGAGGUGUUCUUUUUUUGGUGACUUUGUCGAAUUAACUGAGCUAAAAGAUCUAGAUUUCAAAGAUCCAUCAUUUACCUGGCAAAGAGGUGGGAUGUUUGAAAGAUUAGAUCGGGCACUAGCUAAUGAUGCCUGGGUGACAGCCUUCUCAAAUUGUCUAAUUUCUCAUCUCUCGAGGAUAAAAUUUGAUUACAGGCUUCUUUUCCUAUCUAUGGGGCUGAAUUCAACUAUAUUAGAGGCAGACCCUCUCGUUUUUUAGUUGGAUGGACGAAACAUUCUAAUUUUACUACUUUUGUUAAAGACAAGUGGAAUUAUUCGGGUAAUAUGGCUGAAUCUUUAUCUUAAUUUACCUUGUGUGUUAAGGAGUAGAAUACGACUGUUUAUGGAUAUAUUGGCACCCAUAAAAAGAAAUUAAUAAAAUCAUUUGCUAAUGUUCAAAGUGUAACGCCCUUGUUAGAGUUAUGUGACCCAAAUUCUAAGAGAUUGCUUGCAAGUCAAGUUAAACAAAAUAUAUUUUCUUUCUAGAAGAUUUAGUAUUUAUUAGUAUAAUAUAUUUAGCAUUUAUUAGCAUAGUUUAUUUGACUUACUAAUUUAGCCUAUAAAUAGGUUCUUUUACAACCUUAGAAAAUAUACCCAUUAGAGAUUAGAACUCAUAACACAUUUAGAGAAUUUUGUGUUUACGUUUUGAGGGUUCUUUGUUUUCGGGUUUUUCAGGUUUAGUUUUUUUAUCUUUAUCUUUUGUACUCUUUGUUCUUUUGUCAUUAUAGUAAAAUUAUCUUUACCCGUGGUUUUUUAUCCUCUUUGGAGGGGUUUUUCCACGUUAAAUUUGUGUAUUCAAUUUAUUUCGCUAUUUUUUUACUUGUUGCUUAAUCGGGUCGAUCCUAACAAGUGGUAUCAUAGUUAGUUUAAUUUUCAUAGAUCAACCCAUUCAGAGAUGACAACAACAAGGUUUGAAAUUGAGAAGUUCAAUGGUAAGACAAAUUUCAAUAUGUGGCAAGUUUGGAUGAUGGCAAUUCUAGUUCAAACCGGAUUGAAAAAGGUUGUUAUCGCGAAAAAGCUUGAGAAUCUAAAUUAAUCAGAAUGGGAAGAGCUUGAUGCAAAGGCCUUGUCUGCAAUCCAGUUUUGCCUCGCGAAUACGGUAUUGCAGGAGGUAUUGAUGGAGAAGGCCUCAUCCGCCUUGUGGAAAAGGUUAGAAACUCUUUAUGCGACUAAGUCUCUGGCUAAUCGUUUAGUGUUGAAACAACGUCUAUUUACGUUUCGCAUGAAUGAAUGUGAGCUUCUUAGAGAUCACAUCAGUCAAUUCAUUACUCUUUUAAAUGAUUUAAAGAACGUUGAGGUUCAUAUUAAUGAUGAAGAUCAGACUAUGCUAUUAUUGUACUCUUUACCCCCUUCAUACAAGUCUUUCAGGGAGACCUUAAUUUAUGGCAGAGACAAACUCUCGUUCAAAGAUGUGAAUGGUCAUUUGUUAAGUAGAGACAAACUCGACAAUGAGUUUGGUUUGGAUAGCAAGGCAGAUAGGCAAGCUUCCAUUUUGGUAGCAUCAAAGAAACGAGACAAAUGUGUUGCUAUUGUAACAAGUUAGGUCACGUCAAAGCAGAUUGUUAUAAACUGCGAAAUAAAAGAGCUCUUGAGAGUAACGAGAAAGAUGUAGCUGAUGCUAAUUUGGCCGAUGAAAGUGGUGAUGAUUUCUUGUUAGUGUCAACGAGUGAUAACUCCAAGCUCACGUCUGAGUGGAUCCUAGAUUCGGGAUGUGCUUUCCACAUAUGUCCCAAUAGAGAAUGGUUCUCUACAUACAGUUCGGUUGAAGGUGGAGUAGUGCGCAUGGGAAACAAUUCAUCUAGUAAGGUAAUUGAUAUUGGUACUGUUAAAAUUAAGAUUCAUGAUGGGACGAUUAGGACACUCUCAGACGUCAGGUAUGUACCUGAUUUACAAAAGAAUCUCAUCUCCUUGAGUAUUUUAGACUUGAAAGGAUGCAGAAUCAACAUCGAGUCGAGUGACAUAAAAGUAUCUCGUAGAGAUCUCCUUUUGUUAAAAGGUAAAAAAAUCAACAGUCUUUAUAUUCUGGAAGGUUUUACAGUGACCGGUGAUAUCGGACGUCCUUCGUCCGUUACAGAGUCAAAGUCAACUCGUUUGGAGCGGAGGCAACUUGGUUAUAGGAGGGAAAAAAUACCAUUUCAUUAAAGAGAGGUUCUCUUUUGGAUACAAGUUUUGAAAAGUUAAGGCAUUGUUUUCGUGAAAAUCAGACCCGGGUUAGUUUUGAUUGAGUAGUGCACAAGUUGAAGGCUAGAAGUCUUCCAGCUUCUAAGCACAGAUUCGACUUAGUUAAUUCCCUGCAUAGUUCAAGAUAGGCCCGUGGCGGGCUUUGGCAAAGAUGGCGUUGUAAGAAUUUGUGUCAAGGUGGAGAUUGUUAGAGUUAUGUGACCCAAAUUCUAAUAGAUUGCUUGCAAGUCAAGUUAAACAAAAUAUAUUUUCUUUCUAGAAGAUUUAGUAUUUAUUAGUAUAAUAUAUUUAGCAUUUAUUAGUAUAGUUUAUUUGACUUACUAAUUUAGCCUAUACAUAAGUUCUUUUACAACCUUAGAAAAUACACCCAUUAGAGAUUAGAACUCAUAACACAUUUAAAGAAUUUUGUGUUUAAGUUUUGAGGGUUCUUUAUUUUCGGGUUUUUCGGGGUUUAGUUUUUUAUCUUUAUCUUUUGUACUCUUCGUUCUUUUGCCAUUAUAGUAAAAUUAUCUUUGCCUGUGGUUUUUUUAUCCUCUUUGGAGGGGUUUUCACACGUUAAAUUUGUGUGUUCAAUUUCUCAAUUUAUUCCGCUAUUUUUUUACUUGUUGCUUAAUCAGGCUGAUCCUAAUAGCCCUCAACUCGAUCCGUUUGCACUUACCCUAUUCAUAAAAAAAUUCAAAAAAUACCUCUUAAUUAGUAACACUGCCCAACAAAUUUUUGUCUAUGCGUACAAAGUGUCAUUACAAUCAUUUGAACAAGACUUUACACUCGGCAAGUCCUUACAAGUACAUAUAACCCACUUAUUCUACCUAUAAAUAAUAUUAUUGGUGUCAUUUAUAUUACUAACACAUUCUAUACACGCCACAAGGCUUAUAAACAAUUUUUGUGACCUAUCCAUAAUAUUUCCAUCAAACUUGAACAAGCCGCUCCCCUUGCUCUGUAUGCAUAACAACCCAUCUCGCCAUACUUUUGGCAUAGCCCUGGCAUCGUCCCUCUUGGCGUAGCCUUUAAUCGGCUUACCUGUAACAAGAAGACAUAAAUGUAAGUUUGAUAAAACUUAGCGAGUAAACUCUUAUUUACCCGAAUCUCAUUUGAGAAUUCUCUUAUCCAACUCUUUGUCUCUUAUUCUUUGACUUAAUUCUGGUGGAUACACCCCUUAGAUUCUAUUCAUUUCAUUGUUGGUGUCACGUUUCGUUCUGAGAUCAUAACUUGCAUUACCUAUCAUUAUUACCUUAAUCGCAUUCUUCAUUUUGUUCUUUCGUGAUUUCUUAAAUAGUCCUAUUACAAAAGGCAUUACAGAUAGAAUACCUUUGGUUUGUCACUCACGCUGGCGCAUUCUCGUCUCGUUCUUCUUACCAUGUUACUAUACUGGGUUCGCCAUAACACUUCUUAUGGAGCCUUUCUUUCAGAGUUCUCCAUAUUUAUCGUUCUUUCAUAAGACCUCGUACAUCGUUUAUCGGAGUUUGCCAUAGUUUUCUUUUCUUUUCGUUCAGAGUUUGUAAUAGAGUCAUUCCUUUUUAGAGAUAGCCACAAGGGCUUCCUUAUCCAGAGAUUGCCACAAAUGUGUCCUUUUCAUUAAGUACUCGCCAUAAAAGCUUUCUUUUCAGAGCCUCGCCACAAAGGCGUCCCUAAAGAGGUUCGCCAUGGAGUCUUACCCUUUCGGAGUUUUGCCACAAAGGCAUCCUUUACAUUCAGUACUCACCACAAAGACUUUCCUGUCCAGAGUUAUGCCAUAAAGGUUUUUCCUUUCCUGGUGAUUUAGGCAAUAGGGAUUUUCUUAGACUCACACUUAAUGAGGUUUGCCCCUCAUCAUCUUGGGGCAUACAGAGAACCAUAUUAGUUAAUAACCUUCAUUAGUUUUCCCAUAUAAUGUCAUAACCCACCAAUUAUGGUCUUACACGAUAUGAUCUUCUUUUUAUAUGAUGCCAUAACCCACCAGUUACGGUUUUACAUGAUAUGAUCUUCUUUCCAUAUGAUGUCAUAACCCACCAGUUACGGUCUUGCAGGACAUGGUCUUCUUUAGUGCCAUGGCCAUAGACUUAUCCUUUCAGAGAUUCAUGUUUUUAGUUUUGACGGACCCCUUUGACGACUUCAAAGACAGACACAGACUCAUCAUGCAUCGACUUACUCAUGAAAAACAUUCUUAUGCUUAUGAGACACACAUACACUUCCUAUUAAACUCAUUCUUACUUUCAAACGUAAGCACACCAUAGUCAUACAAAUUCAUAAAUCUUACAUUUCUUAUCAGAUUCAUCUCAUCAUACUUUACCAAUUUCAAUAUCAUGCUUUGGUCACUUAGCAUAGAAGUUUUUAGAUAAGCAUAAUGCGCAUACAGGAUUCAAUCUAAGGACUCACUUAGUAAAGAUUUUUAGUAGCUUGGGCUCCAUGGCUAAGGUCUUCUUAGAACUACAGCAACCACUGCCUUGUAAAAACAGAAGAUUUUCCAUUAACACCCAUCCUAGAAAAUCCUCAAAUAGAGCCUUAUUUCUUCUUACACUCUUAUAGAUCUACUUUUGCAGAGUAAUAAGACUUACUUUGGCACAGAGAAAUCAUCGAUAAAAUCCAGGGUCUCAAAUCCAGCUUAAAGAAAUUUUGUCAUUUCCUCCAACCUUAGAUUUCGAUAUUUUGAAGAGAGAAGAAAAGAACUCCCUCUAUUCAAACUUGAAGACUUAUUAAUAUAAUCUAAGUCUUCAUUGGGACUUGACAAAUGUCGCAUCACUAUUGAAUUAUCUUAUCAAAGUCUACAACAACCGAGAAAUCUUAUUGGUUUCUUUUUCUCUUUUAACAAUCAACAUUGGACCUAUUCAAUGAUAAAGUUCCUAUCACUUAGCAUACCUUAUACACACCAAAUGACCAUAUAACAAACAUAUCAAACAACCAAUUUAUUUAUAUUUACAUGAGGGCAUACAAUAUUUACUAUCAUCUCAUAUAAAUACACAUCAUUUACAAGCCUUUAUCAAAAGGCAUAAACAUAAUUGAACUUGGCACAAUUUCAAAACAAACCAAUCACCAAGACAAUAAUUAAAAACUUUAUUACAUGCCAAAACACAUAUAUUAUUUAACCACUUUAGUGAAUCAAAGGUCAUUUAAAUCAUAAGGCAUACACAAGUGAUCAAAAUUCAUACUUACAUAUAUACAUUUGUAAACCAAUAUUAAGGCAUAUGGGAAGAUAAACUUAAACCACAUUGCAUUGGUAAAUAGCACAAAAUCAACUCUUAAUACGUGUCAUUUUUAACCAUUAGCCAAAAUAAUCAAACUAAUAAUAUGACAAAUGGAUAGUGUAAUGGUGCUCCGGUGAGACUCCAACCGAUCGAGCUUUCUAAUGAUCUACAAAAUAGAGAAAACACAUAUGUAAGCAACUAGUGCCUAAUAAGCUCGUAUUAGGAACUUAAACUUAUCGUGUAUAUUAAGUUAAACAAUUAAAGAUAAAUUUCAUUUUCUUAUAGGCCAAACAUCCUUUCCUAUAUACAAAAGUUCAUAAGGUUAGUUAGUGAAACAAUGUACUUAUAAGAUCAAAUAAGGUAUGGCAAUAAACAUAUGAACAUCUCAAUUUCACCAACUAACAUUUGUACUUAUACUAUGUAACUUCAUCUUCUUUAAAUUAUGCAUAUCCAAAUUCCCAUAUCAUGUAUUUAAUACCAGAGUUUAAUACAUACAUGUACUUUUCCAUUUGAAACUUAACUACCCAUUGAACUUAAUAGAGUAACAUCAGAUACUUGUAAUAAUAUUUUUAGUACAAGUUACCUAAUAUAAUACACUGGCACAAAGCCUGCUAGGCUUAAAACCUGAUACGAUACAUCGACACGAAGCUUGCUAGGCUCAAUGCCUGAUACAAUACACUGGCACGAAGCCUGCUAGGCAUAAAGCUUGAACAAUACACCGACACUAAGCCUACUAGGCACAAAGCCUGAAUCAAUACACUAGCAUUAAGCCUACUAGGCACAAAGCCUGAAUCAAUACACAAGCACUAAGCCUACUAAGCACAAAUCCUGAAUCAAUACACCAGCACUCCGGCGAGACUCCAAUCAAUCGAGCUUUCUAAUGAUCUACAAAAUAGAGAAAACACAUAUGUAAGCAACUAGUGCCUAAUAAGCUCGUAUUAGGAACUUAAACUUACCGUGUAUAUAAGUUAAAAAAUUAAAGAUAAAUUUCAUUUUCUUAUAGGCCAAACAUCCUUUCCUAUAUACAAAAGUUCAUAAGGUUAGUUAGUGAAACAAUGUACUUAUAAAAUCAAAUAAGGUAUGGCAAUAAACAUAUGAAAAUCUCAAUUUCACCAACUAACAUUUGUACUUAUACCAUGUAACUUCAUCUUCUUUAAAUUAUUCAUAUCCAAAUUCCUAUAUCAUGUAUUUAAUACCAGAGUUUAAUACAUACAUGUACUUUUCCAUUUGAAACUUAACUACCUAUUGAACUUAAUAGAAUAACAUCAGAUACUUGUAAUAAUAUUUUUAGUACAAGUUACCUGAUACAAUACACCGGCACAAAGCCUGCUAGGCUUAAAACCUGAUACGAUACAUCGACACGAAGCUUGCUAAGCUCAAGGCCUGAUACAAUACACUGGCACGAAGCUUGCUAGGCACAAAGCUUGAAUCAAUACACCGACACUAAGCCUACUAGGCACAAAGCCUGAAUCAAUACACAAGCACUAAGUCUGCUAGAGACAAAGCCUGAAUCAAUACACUAGCACUAAGCCUACUAGGCACAAAGCCUGAAUCAAUACACUAGCACUGAGCCUACUAAGUACAAAGCCUGAAUCAUUAUUUCCAAUUCAAUUCAAUCUCAUUAUUAAUUUUUCAUCAGUCAACAUUUAAAAUAACAAACACUACAAUUAUUUGAAUAAAUCAAUUAGCAAGCAAUUUAACUUAACAUAUUACAUAUAGUACAAACUUACCUGAACUCGUAAACGACUUCUAACUCGAACUGACCACUAUUCCGCUACUUAGACUUUUCUGUGAUUUAUGUCCAUUCAAGUUGUUUCUUGAUAUAGAUAAAUAUUUUUAUUCAAUUAAUCUUGUUUCAGCAUUUACAAUAAUUAAAUUUACACAAUUUAACAUUUCCAUAAAAUUUACAAAAUUUCCCUUAACAUUUUUUUACAAUUUAGUCCCUAUACUCGAAACUUACAAUUUAAGCACAAUUAAAGAAAACCUAUUCUAACUGAUUUUUUACUUAUUCCCUACUCAACCCACUUUUAUCAAAAUUUUAAAAUAUUUUCAUACAAUUUCACCAUUUUAACAAUUUAGUCCCUAAUUACAAAAUUAACAAAAUCUACUUAAUCAAAUAGUCCCUAUACAUUUCAUAGCUUCAAAAUAUAAAAAUUUCUACCACAACAUCUAAUAUUUAUUAAUGACAAGUUUUAAAAUCUUAAACAGCUUUGAAAAUAGAGAUACGAGUUAGCUGGACCUAGUUGCAACAAUCUCAUAAAAAUUACGAGAAACGAGUGAAAAAUGGCUUACAUGCAAGGGAUGAACCAAGGACAAAGCUUCCAAAGUCCUCCUAUGGCGGUUUAGUGAUAACAAGAAUGGAAGAAGGAGAUGGACGCAAUUUUUUAUGAUUUAUUAUUUUAAUAUACUUAUUCAUUUAGUUUUAUUAUUUAAACACUUAUUUUAGUAAUAUAAUGAAAUGUAUAAUCGGCCAUGAACAUAAAAAUGGCUUAUUUGCCUUAUAAAUCCAUCCACUUAUAAUAAUUAAACCAUUUUUAGUCAAUAAAAUUCAAUAACAAUUAAGUUUUACACCUUUUACGAUUUAGUCCUUUUUCUUUAAUUAACUAGUCAAACAAUAAAAUUUCCUAACCAAACUUUAUUAUGACCCUAAUAAAAAAAUAUUUACGGUCUCGAUUUAUAGAAAUGAUGCCCCAAUACCUCAUUUUCAAAAACCACUUGACUUUAAAGAUUUACCACUUGAACCUAAUUACUCAAUCAAAUAACAUAAUUUAUCAAAUCAAAAUAUAUUAUAAUACUAUAUUUGUCUUGUAAAUAUCAUUAAUAUUUAUGAACUCACUCAUUGAAUUCGUGGCCCCAAAACCAUUAUUUCCAACAGCACUGAAAAACGGGUUGUUACACUGUGACACCCCUAAUGUGACCCUAUGGGAUGAAAUGUAUUAUAAACAUUUUAUGUUAGUGUUUUAUGUUAGAAAUAAUAAAAUAAAGAACAUGGGUAAUAAAAUAAUAGUGGUUAGUAGGGGAGAAACAAAAAAAUUAGCUAGGUUGCUCCUCCAUUGCCGUGACUUGAGGGAGGAAGAAGAAAGUUUGGUUGCUUUAAUUUUUGGCUUAGAAGAUGGCUAGAAGGAGGAAAAACUAUGAUUUUAGCUAGUUAGGUAGCUGAAAUUUCAAGUAACUCGGUAAUCCAUCGAAGAAGAGGAAGAGGGCUGCAACAAAAAGAAAAAUGGAGACAGUUUGCAUGUUGAAGGAAACUAAGGAUUUAGCUUGUUUAAGAGUUGUAUCCUAAGUUGGUAAGUUUUCUAAGCUCCCCUCUAUCUUUAACUUUGUUGUAAAGAAAAAUGAUGAUGGAUUGUGGUUGGAAGGCAUGGAUGCGGGUGGUAGAAAAGAAAAGCUCUUUGAUUAGUUGUAAAAAUUACUACUGUCCAAUUUUGUGCCUUCGUUAUGCUGUCCAAAAUUUGAACAAAUUAAUGGUUCUAUUUUCAUGCCGAUUAGGGGUUGAUAAAUUGAGUCUAAUAGCUAAAAUAUUAUGUUAUUCUUACUAAGUUUCAGUUGUUAGUAGUGACGUAACAAUGUGACAAUUAAAUGCAUAAAUGAUUGCUGGAAACUCCAGCUUGAAAACAAAUUGUUCCAGCAUGUAAAUGCUGAUUUGAAUGUGUUGUAAUAUGUGGAAGAAUUGGUCUGCUGCAUGUUUGAAAUAAAAGAAAACAAUGGUUGUUAAAUAAUGCUUGCUGUCCAGAUUGAAAUUAUGCUAGAAGGUUGAACAAUUGUUGUUCAAAUGGAAUUUUGGAGUGUUUAAUGGACUCCAUGUUGCUAAAAUUUACAUGAAUAGAAAUUUCUAAGCUUAAAUUGUAAGAAUUUGAGUUGUGUGGUUUAAAUUGUCAAAGAUGCAUUUGGCAAUUGAUUAUAAUUUGUUAAAGGGUGUAAAGUAUUGAUAGUUCUAAAUGGUACAUAGUUAAAUGAAGAUGGAAGCUUGAUAAACUUUUAUUUAGAAUGUGAAUUAGAUAUAAAUUAAAUAAGCAUGAAAUCGAAUCAUGGCAUGUUUUAUUAAAUAUGAUACAUAUUGAAAUCUAUUGUUUUAGAUGUAGAUUAAAUGAUAUGUGAUUGCCAAAUGUGAUUGUUAAGUGAAUAAUAUUAGUUAAGUACUUAAGCAAAUCUAUUGUUUUACUUAAGCUUAAGAGCAAAGAGGAUCAAAGUUGGAUAGGGGAAAAGAGAAAGUAAACGAAUAGCCGUGAAUAUCUAGUCGUCGACCACUUCCGAGGUAAGUUUUAAGUGAUUAAACGUUGAGUAAAUUCAAUCAUAAUAGGACAUAAUGAGUUGAUUUAAUAAGAUAUGAUGUGGCCAUGAUAUGUCUUAAACUCAAAUGGUAAGUUCAUAAGUGUUUGGACUUGGAAAUUUAAGAGCAAAUUGCAAUAAUUUGCUUAGGACAGCAGCCGUAACGUGAUUUUAGAAAAUCACUAUAAAUUUUUGGUGUGGAAUUAUAGGCUGAAUAAAAUAUGUAAUCAAAGAUUAAUUAGUCUAGUUUCUUAUAAAAGAGACCGUGUAAGCAAAGAAAUUUCCUAUAAAGAGAUAUUUAAAGUUGUGUGAGACAGUGUCAGAAUGACUCCGAAAUCCCCUGUCCUGUAUUUAGAAAAUCACUAUAAUUUGUAAAAAAAUGGUUACAAGAUAAAAUUUAUAUUCUUAGACUCCUUAAUGAGUCUAGUUUCAAAUUAAAUCAAAUAGAACAUAUUUUGAAUUCUGUACAAUGAGAAAUUUGAUUCGUAGUGAAGACUGGUCAGAUUAGUCAAACAGUGAAAUAGGGGAAACUUUAAGAAAAAUCUGGUAUUGAUUGGCCAAACCAAAAAUUCUGAAAAUUUUCUGGAUAAGAUAUGUAUGAGUCUAUUUCCAGGUAAAAUUAACGGCACUCCAUUUGGAGUUUCGUAGCUCCAUUUACGAAUAAUUUAAUGACUGUUGCUCAGAAAAAACAGCUUGUGCUGAGUUUGGGAUUUUGUUGUAAACCUUAAUAAAACCAUUUGAGUUGCUUAUAAGCUAUCGAUUAAACAUUGGUAAUCAAAGCACCAAAUCCGUAUUAAAGUGAAGCUAUAAGCCACAAAUGACUAGUAUACCUAGUCAAUUUUGUUAUGAUGAAAUUGAUGUACAAGUAUAUAUAUGUGAUAGGGCCGAGUGGCCAAUGUGAUGAAUGUGAAAGUAUAUAUAUGCGUGAUAAGGCCGAAUGGCCAAUGUGAUGAAUGUGAACAUGUGUAUGUGUGAUAAGGCCGAAUGGCCAAUGUGAUGAAUGUGAACAUGCAUAUAUGAGAUAAGGCCGAAUGGCCAAUGUGAUGAAUGUGAAAGUGUAUAUAUGAGAUAAGGCCGAAUGGCCAAUGUGAUGAAUGUGAAAGUGUAUAUAUGUGAUAAGGCCGAAUGGCCAAUGUGAUGGAUGUGGAAGUGCAUAAAUGUGAUAAGUCCCGAAGGGCAAUUGUGUCAGUACUAUAUCCGGGUUAAAACCCCGCAGGCUUUAUGCGAGAAUAUUAUCCUGAUUAAUGUCCGUAGGCUUCGUGCUCGUACUAUAUCCGAGCUUUAAAGACCCGACGGCUAAAUGCUAGGAUUCAAGUAAGACUUUGAUAUUGAGUAUCUGCAUUAAGUUACCAUCAAAUAAGUAUUAUGUAUUCAAGAUGUUCAGGUACGUAUUACUUACUCAUCGGUGGAGUGAUUUCGAGGUGAAUUAUCAGUAUCAAAGAGGUAGGUAAAUGUGAUUAAUAUUAUAACUCCAAAUGUGAGAAUGAUCUAAUUGGUAAUGGUAUGUUUGUAUAAUAAAGUAUGCGAUGAAAUAUUCUUAUGUAUUAGUGCAUAUUCUGCCCAAAAGCCUUAUGAUCUGAGUAUGGGUUGGGUUGAGCUAGAUGUGCCAGUACAAGGUAAGGAUUAUGAUUUGUAAGCUUACAUAUAUGUGAUAAGGAAUAUGUUGGUUCUUUAUGUGCCUAUGGUAAUUUAGUACUUGUCAUGUUGAAAUACUUAAAAGUAUGGAUGUGAUUAUGAACAAGUGGAAAGGAUUAUUGAAAGUUGAAAAUCGAUGAAGAAUGUGCUUUGGAAAUAUUUGACCGUCUAGGUCAUUAUUAUUCGAAAGUAUAUAUGUGGCAGCCAAGUGUUGCGUUUAAUGAUAUUAUAGAUCGAGAUGAUGCUCUAGAUUAACUUCAUCGAACAGUUGAAAUGAAUGACCAAUGAUAGUGAUUGAGAACACUUUGUUUUGCUUAAAACUUACUAAGCAUUAAAUGCUUACUCCGUUCUUUGAAUCUCUGUUUUAUAGAUUUUGGUUCGUCAGCUAUUGGACUCGGGAUUAUUGAAGUCGAAGUCGCCCACACUAUCAAAACCCUUUUGGUACACUUUUGGUUGAACUCUGAAAAUGGCAUGUAUAGGACUACCCUUUUGUUGUUGGUCAUGUACCCUUCGGUUUUGUAUAAUUUUGGAUAGCCAUGCGAAAAUGGCUUAUAUAUGUUUGAGCAUAAUGUUAUAAUCAUUUGGUAUGGAUAUGGUUAUUGAGAGGUGUGGAUAUGCUUAACAAGGAU
Molecule: long non-coding RNA, 13029 nt
Filed under: Gossypium barbadense (sea-island cotton)
Lineage: Eukaryota; Viridiplantae; Streptophyta; Magnoliopsida; Malvales; Malvaceae
Description: long non-coding RNA (GBAR_LNC014239)
Source: RNAcentral